GGCAGCUUUAAUUCUAACAGCCCUUUCCUCCUCAGUCAAUGGAACCUCACCCCGAUCAGCAGGAUGAUACAUCAACAAAUUCUUCGCCGUAUAAUUCCAUCCUUCCAACGUACUAGGAGGUUGAUAAGAAGUACCAUACCCAUCAGUUAUCCUAUCCCUCUUUUCAUCCUCAACAGCAUCCCCAUUCGCAUUCGAAUUCACACUAUCUUCCAAAUAACCAAACCUCUCUUUCCUCUUCCUAUUAACUCUCUCCAAAAUCUUCGAAAAACUUUGAUUAUCCUCACUUGUAUACCUCCCCAAAAACUGAUCAAGCCCAAGAUUCGUAUCCACACCACC
RNAcentral lists this long non-coding RNA (336 nucleotides) under Medicago truncatula (barrel medic). Its description in RNAcentral is "lncRNA gene33735". The record is from RNAcentral. Lineage: Eukaryota; Viridiplantae; Streptophyta; Magnoliopsida; Fabales; Fabaceae.